RNAcentral lists this microRNA precursor (181 nucleotides) under Medicago truncatula (barrel medic). RNAcentral describes it as "miR5280 stem-loop (mtr-MIR5280)". Lineage: Eukaryota; Viridiplantae; Streptophyta; Magnoliopsida; Fabales; Fabaceae. The record is from miRBase by way of RNAcentral.
AACAGGCUUACUAUGAGAAACGGCUCAAUCCAUCACGGGCCGUUUUUAAUUACAACCCAUUAAUAAAUAUCAUUUUAUUUAGGGCAAUAUUGUAUCAAUUCUAAUUAUAAUAUUGCACUGAAUAAAAGGAUACUUAUUAAUGGGCUGUAAUUAGAAACGGGCCGUGAUGGGUUGGGCUGUU